RNAcentral lists this ribosomal RNA (460 nucleotides) under uncultured bacterium. RNAcentral's name for it is "partial 16S ribosomal RNA". It matches the Rfam family "Bacterial small subunit ribosomal RNA", at positions 338 to 795 of the family's 1533-position model. The record is from RNAcentral.
CCUACGGGUGGCUGCAGUGAGGAAUAUUGGUCAAUGGGCGGAAGCCUGAACCAGCCAAGUCGCGUGAGGGAAUAAGGCCCUACGGGUCGUAAACCUCUUUUGCCGGGGAGCAAGGGCCGGGACGAGUCCCGGUCCGGAGAAUACACGGAGAACAAGCAUCGGCUAACUCCGUGCCAGCAGCCGAGGUAAUACGGAGGAUGCGAGCGUUAUCCGGAUUUAUUGGGUUUAAAGGGUGCGUAGGCGGGCUUUUAAGUCAGCGGUAAAAAUUCGGGGCUCAACCCCGUCCGGCCGUUGAGACUGGGGGCCUUGAGUGGGCGAGAAGAAGGCGGAAUGCGUGGUGUAGCGGUGAAAUGCAUAGAUAUCACGCAGAACCCAGAUUGCGAAGGCAGCCUUCCGGCGCCCUACUGACGCUGAGGCACGAAAGUGCGGGGAUCGAACAGGAUUAGAGACCCUUGUAGUC